RNAcentral lists this long non-coding RNA (1300 nucleotides) under Crocodylus porosus (Australian saltwater crocodile). Its description in RNAcentral is "lncRNA (ENSCPRG00005013118.1)". The record is from RNAcentral. Lineage: Eukaryota; Metazoa; Chordata; Crocodylia; Crocodylidae.
AUUCACAGUUCUUUUCAUCUUGGAAACUGACUUUUCAUUUCUCUUCGUGUUUCAUACAUUAGGAAAGAAGAAUACAAAGGUGAAAAUAAAACCCUGAAAAAAAUUAAAUCCAAAGUUGAGGGUUGUGCAACAGCUAGUUGGUGAGACUUGGGUAUCUGCCCUAGCUAAAUUACCUUUGAAGAGGCCAUUUUGAAGAGCUGUACAAUCCACUUAAGAAAAGUUUUUACUGAGGUGAAUCCCACUUAUAAUGGAGCAGAGUGAGAGUCUUAAGUCAAGAUAUGCAGACAUGAAAGAGUUAAAUGACUGGAGACCUGACUGCAGCUGGGGUUCAUUUAAACAGCUGUCUGACAUAAAAAGAGGAAGAGGAAAGGUUUGUCUGUUCUGGUGGGAAAUCUACCAGCUCCACAGUGAGGUUUUCAUGCAUCAGCCUCCUUGGCUGGAACCCUGCCUCCCCAUCCCAUUGCCAGAGAAGUAUGAUGAUGACUGGCUGCGCUUCUGCGGGUUCUUUGUCCAAUGCUGCGUAUUAUUUGUAGUCAACUUUAGCUCUACCCCCAAAACUAAGUGAAGGUGAGCCUAGUGGUCUUAAUGGAAAAUGCACUGAUUUGGGCCAAAGCGUUGGUGGACUGUGAUAGUUUGGUGCUCCAAGGCUGGGGGGCAUUCCUCAAGGAAUUCAUGACAUAGUUUGCAAUCUGCACCUGGCCUGGACAGAGGAGGCUGUCCUGUGAUCCCUGCAUCAGGAGAAAAGUUCUGUCAUGGCUUGUGCACCCAUCUUUCACUGCUUGAGAACAGACACCCAGUAGAAUGAAGCAUCCCAACUCCACCAUUUCUGCUGGGGUCUACAGGAGGAAAUUAAGGAUGAACUGGCUCCGAAUUUGAUGCAUUUGUGGAUCUGGCUGCCCAGAUGGGCCUCCACCUUUGGGAAUGCAGAGAGGAAAAGAAAGAUGCCUUGCCUCUGUGGCCACACAGUAGUGAAACAUGAGCUGAAUAACAUGGAUCAAAAAGAAACCUGCCCUAGAGUGGUGUAACUUUAAGGUGCCUAAGUGUGCUUAAAGCUAGUUUCCAGUGUUAAUGUGCAGACAAUCCAUGGGUUAAGAGCUCCAGAAGCUGCCUAAAAUUAAUCUAGAACAAGGCCCUAAGUAUGUCUUGUGAAAUGCUGAGCUCCUGCUGUUUUCAGUGAAAGAUGGACAUACUUGGUAUCUGCCCAAAUUUGGUCUAGCUGUAUUUAAAUAUGGAAUAUAUAUUUGUCCAAGUUGUUUUGCAUUAAAAUAAAUGAAUCCAACACUGAAGUUAUGUAAUUGCA